UUCCUACGGGAGGCAGCAGUGGGGAAUAUUGCGCAAUGGACGAAAGUCUGACGCAGCGACGCCGCGUGUAGGAUGACGCCUUUCGGGGUGUAAACUACUGUUGCCCGGGACGAAACCCUCCUUUCGAGGAGAUUGACGGUACCGGGUGAGGAAGCACCGGCUAACUCUGUGCCAGCAGCCGCGGUAAUACAGAGGGUGCGAGCGUUGUCCGGAAUCACUGGGCGUAAAGGGCGCGUAGGUGGCUUGGUAAGCGGGUGGUGAAAGUCCGGGGCUCAACCCCGGAUCUGCCGUGCGAACUGCCGAGCUUGAGCACUGUAGAGGCAGGUGGAAUUCCGGGUGUAGCGGUGGAAUGCGUAGAGAUUCGGAAGAACACCAGUGGCGAAGGCGGCCUGCUGGGCAGUUGCUGACACUGAGGCGCGACAGCGUGGGGAGCAAACAGGAUUAGAUACCCUGGUAGUCA
This 460-nucleotide ribosomal RNA is filed under the name uncultured bacterium. RNAcentral's name for it is "bacterial SSU rRNA". It matches the Rfam family "Bacterial small subunit ribosomal RNA", at positions 336 to 796 of the family's 1533-position model. The record is from RNAcentral.